GACGAACGCUGGCGGCGUGCCUAAUACAUGCAAGUAGAACGCUGAAGAGAGGAGCUUGCUCUUCUUGGAUGAGUUGCGAACGGGUGUGUAACGCGUAGGUAACCUGCCUUGUAGCGGGGGAUAACUAUAGGAAACGAUAGCUAAUACCGCAUAACAAUGGAUGACACAUGUCAUUUAUUUGAAAGGGGCAAUUGCUCCACUACAAGAUGGACCUGCGUUGUAUUAGCUAGUAGGUGAGGUAAUGGCUCACCUAGGCGACGAUACAUAGCCGACCUGAGAGGGUGAUCGGCCACACUGGGACUGAGACACGGCCCAGACUCCUACGGGAGGCAGCAGUAGGGAAUCUUCGGCAAUGGGGGCAACCCUGACCGAGCAACGCCGCGUGAGUGAAGAAGGUUUUCGGAUCGUAAAGCUCUGUUGUAAGUCAAGAACGGGUGUGAGAGUGGAAAGUUCACACUGUGACGGUAGCUUACCAGAAAGGGACGGCUAACUACGUGCCAGCAGCCGCGGUAAUACGUAGGUCCCGAGCGUUGUCCGGAUUUAUUGGGCGUAAAGCGAGCGCAGGCGGUUUGAUAAGUCUGAAGUUAAAGGCUGUGGCUCAACCAUAGUUCGCUUUGGAAACUGUCAAACUUGAGUGCAGAAGGGGAGAGUGGAAUUCCAUGUGUAGCGGUGAAAUGCGUAGAUAUAUGGAGGAACACCGGUGGCGAAAGCGGCUCUCUGGUCUGUAACUGACGCUGAGGCUCGAAAGCGUGGGGAGCGAACAGGAUUAGAUACCCUGGUAGUCCACGCCGUAAACGAUGAGUGCUAGGUGUUGGAUCCUUUCCGGGAUUCAGUGCCGCAGCUAACGCAUUAAGCACUCCGCCUGGGGAGUACGACCGCAAGGUUGAAACUCAAAGGAAUUGACGGGGGCCCGCACAAGCGGUGGAGCAUGUGGUUUAAUUCGAAGCAACGCGAAGAACCUUACCAGGUCUUGACAUCCCGAUGCUAUUUCUAGAGAUAGAAAGUUACUUCGGUACAUCGGUGACAGGUGGUGCAUGGUUGUCGUCAGCUCGUGUCGUGAGAUGUUGGGUUAAGUCCCGCAACGAGCGCAACCCCUAUUGUUAGUUGCCAUCAUUCAGUUGGGCACUCUAGCGAGACUGCCGGUAAUAAACCGGAGGAAGGUGGGGAUGACGUCAAAUCAUCAUGCCCCUUAUGACCUGGGCUACACACGUGCUACAAUGGUUGGUACAACGAGUUGCGAGUCGGUGACGGCGAGCUAAUCUCUUAAAGCCAAUCUCAGUUCGGAUUGUAGGCUGCAACUCGCCUACAUGAAGUCGGAAUCGCUAGUAAUCGCGGAUCAGCACGCCGCGGUGAAUACGUUCCCGGGCCU
This 1369-nucleotide ribosomal RNA is filed under the name uncultured bacterium. Its description in RNAcentral is "bacterial SSU rRNA". It matches the Rfam family "Bacterial small subunit ribosomal RNA", at positions 28 to 1381 of the family's 1533-position model. The record is from RNAcentral.